UUCAGGGCAGUGGCCGGGAAUUUGCUGUG
Molecule: non-coding RNA, 29 nt
Filed under: Homo sapiens (human)
Lineage: Eukaryota; Metazoa; Chordata; Mammalia; Primates; Hominidae
Source: RNAcentral